RNAcentral lists this ribosomal RNA (305 nucleotides) under uncultured bacterium. RNAcentral's name for it is "bacterial SSU rRNA". It matches the Rfam family "Bacterial small subunit ribosomal RNA", at positions 337 to 639 of the family's 1533-position model. The record is from RNAcentral.
ACCUACGGGGCGCAGCAGUGAGGAAUAUUGGUCAAUGGGCGAGAGCCUGAACCAGCCAAGUCGCGUGAGGGAAGACGGCCCUACGGGUUGUAAACCUCUUUUGUCAGGGAGCAAGAACGGAUACGUGUAUCCGAGCGAGAGUACCUGAAGAAAAAGCAUCGGCUAACUCCGUGCCAGCAGCCGCGGUAAUACGGAGGAUUCAAGCGUUAUCCGGAUUUAUUGGGUUUAAAGGGUGCGUAGGCGGUCGGAUAAGUUAGAGGUGAAAUCCCGAGGCUCAACUUCGGAAUUGCCUCUGAUACUGUUCG